GGGAAGAUAGUGAAGUGAUCUUAUAGUAAGGCCUCUCCUGCAAACCAACCUUGCAGAUUAUACCAUCAGCUCCUGCUAACAACAACAACACAUGCCACAAUGCAUUUGUUGAAAGGCACAAUAGAGGAGGAAGCGAAAGCUAAGAAAAUUAAUAUCACAUGUAUGAGGACGAGAUCACAUGAUUGGUCUAUAUGAAGCUCUGCGGGUUUAGCCUCAGGCAUGU
Long non-coding RNA from Brassica oleracea var. oleracea, 223 nucleotides. RefSeq lists it as uncharacterized. The record is from RefSeq and is a predicted model, not a curated record. NCBI's taxonomy places the organism in Eukaryota, Viridiplantae, Streptophyta, Magnoliopsida, Brassicales, Brassicaceae. The transcript is spliced from 2 exons.